RNAcentral lists this transfer RNA (72 nucleotides) under Ovis aries (sheep). It matches the Rfam family "tRNA". From Rfam's summary of the family: Transfer RNA (tRNA) molecules are approximately 80 nucleotides in length. Their secondary structure includes four short double-helical elements and three loops (D, anti-codon, and T loops). Further hydrogen bonds mediate the characteristic L-shaped molecular structure. tRNAs have two regions of fundamental functional importance: the anti-codon, which is responsible for specific mRNA codon recognition, and the 3' end, to which the tRNAs corresponding amino acid is attached (by aminoacyl-tRNA synthetases). tRNAs cope with the degeneracy of the genetic code in two manners: having more than one tRNA (with a specific anti-codon) for a particular amino acid; and 'wobble' base-pairing, i.e. permitting non-standard base-pairing at the 3rd anti-codon position. The record is from Rfam by way of RNAcentral. Lineage: Eukaryota; Metazoa; Chordata; Mammalia; Artiodactyla; Bovidae.
UUCUUGGUGGCUCAGAUGGCAAAGCUUCUGCCUGCAAAGCAGAAGACCCGUGUUCAAUCCCUGGGUUGGAAA